UGCGUAGGCGGUUCUUUGUGUCCGCUGUGAAAGCCCCGGGCUUAACCUGGGAAUUGCAGUGGAAACUAGAGGACUCAGAAUCUGGCAGGAGGGGGGUGGAAUGCCACGUGUAGCAGUGAAAUGCGUAGAGAUGUGGCGGAACACCGAUGGCGAAGGCACGCCCCCUGGGCUGAGAUUGACGCUCAGGCACGAAAGCGUGGGGAGCAAACAGGAUUAGAUACCCUGGUAGUCCACGCCCUAAACGAUGAUCACUAGGUGUUGGGGAAGCGAUUUCCUAGUACCGCAGCUAACGCGUGAAGUGAUCCGCCGUGGGGAGUACGGUCGCAAGAUUAAA
This 334-nucleotide ribosomal RNA is filed under the name uncultured bacterium. RNAcentral describes it as "bacterial SSU rRNA". It matches the Rfam family "Bacterial small subunit ribosomal RNA", at positions 568 to 898 of the family's 1533-position model. The record is from RNAcentral.